This 442-nucleotide ribosomal RNA is filed under the name uncultured bacterium. RNAcentral describes it as "partial 16S ribosomal RNA". It matches the Rfam family "Bacterial small subunit ribosomal RNA", at positions 338 to 795 of the family's 1533-position model. The record is from RNAcentral.
CCUACGGGAGGCAGCAGUAGGGAAUCUUCCACAAUGGGCGAAAGCCUGAUGGAGCAACGCCGCGUGAAGGAAGAAGGCUUUCGGGUUGUAAACUUCUUUUAAUGGGGAAGAGCAGAAGACGGUACCCCUUGAAUAAGCCACGGCUAACUACGUGCCAGCAGCCGCGGUAAUACGUAGGUGGCAAGCGUUGUACGGAUUUACUGGGUGUAAAGGGCGUGCAGCCGGAGAGACAAGUCAGAUGUGAAAUCCACGGGCUCAACCCGUGAACUGCAUUUGAAACUGGUUCCCUUGAGUGUCGGAGAGGUAGUCGGAAUUCGUGGUGUAGCGGUGAAAUGCGUAGAUAUUAGGAAGAACACCAGUGGCGAAGGCGGAUUACUGGACGAUAACUGACGGUGAGGCGCGAAAGCGUGGGGAGCAAACAGGAUUAGAUACCCCUGUAGUC